GAGUUUGAUCCUGGCUCAGGAUGAACGCUGGCGGCAUGGCUAAGACAUGCAAGUCGAACGGACUAUUUUGAAGAGUAAUCGGAUUUAUAGUUAGUGGCGAAAGGGUGAGGAAUAGGUAGGUAACGUACCUCGGGCUCCGGAAUAGCUCAUCGAAAGGUGGGGUAAUGCCGGAUGAUGUCAUCUGUUAAAUUCAGAUGACCAAAGAUUUAUCGGCCCCUGAGCGGCCUAUCUCCUAUCAGCUUGUUGGUGAGGUAACGGCUCACCAAGGCGACGACGGGUAGCGGGACUGAGAGGUUGACCCGCCACAUCGGAACUGAGACACUGUCCGGACCUCCACGGAGGGCUGCAGUAACGAAUAUUGGGCAAUGGGCGAAAGCCUGACCCAGCAAUGCCGCGUGUAGGAUGAAGCUUUUCGGAGUGUAAACUACUUUCAGGGAUUAGAAAGCUACGGUUGAUCAAUCCCAGAAGAAGUCACGGCUAACUUCGUGCCAGCAGCCGCGGUAAUACGAAGGUGGCAAGCGUUAUUCGAAAUCACUGGGCUUAAAGGGCGCGUAGGCGGAUAUGUAAGUGUUAGGUGAAAUCCCUCGGCUUAACCGAGGAAUUGUCUAGCAAACUGCAUAUCUUGAGUCAAGUAGGGGUGUGUGGAACUCUUGGUGGAGCGGUGGAAUGCGUAGAUAUCAAGAGGAACGCCGAAGGUGAAGACAGCACACUGGACUUGUACUGACGCUGAGGCGCGAAAGCGUGGGGAGCGAACAGGAUUAGAUACCCUGGUAGUCCACGCCGUAAACGAUGUCUACUAGGUUGCGGGGGUUCUGACACCGUCGCAGUCGUAGCAAAAGUGUUAAGUAGACCGCCUGGGGAGUACGGUCGCAAGGCUAAAACUCAAAGGAAUUGACGGGGGCUCACACAAGCGGUGGAGCAUGUGGAUUAAUUCGAAGCAACGCGCAGAACCUUACCUGGGUUUGACAUGUAUGGAUGCCUAUCCGGAAACGGAGUCGGCUGCCCUCGGGUGAAACUUACACAGGUGCUGCAUGGCUGUCGUCAGCUCGUGUCGUGAGAUGUCGGGUUAAGUCCUUUAACGAGCGAAACCCUUACCGUUAGUUGCCAGCGCGUUAUGGCGGGGACUCUAGCGGGACUGCCGGUGUUAAACCGGAGGAAGGUGGGGAUGACGUCAAGUCCUCAUGGCCUUUAUAUCCAGGGCUUCACACGUGCUACA
RNAcentral lists this ribosomal RNA (1216 nucleotides) under metagenome. RNAcentral describes it as "bacterial SSU rRNA". It matches the Rfam family "Bacterial small subunit ribosomal RNA", at positions 9 to 1229 of the family's 1533-position model. The record is from RNAcentral.